Molecule: unclassified non-coding RNA, 379 nt
Filed under: uncultured Pseudomonadota bacterium
Lineage: Bacteria; Pseudomonadati; Pseudomonadota
Description: uncultured proteobacterium contains 16S-23S intergenic spacer region
Source: RNAcentral
UCCGGUUUGUCACCGGCGGUCCCCUUAGAGUUCCCAACUAAAUGCUGGCAACUAAAGACGAGGGUUGCGCUCGUUGCGGGACCUAACCCAACAUCUCACGACACGAGCUGACGACAGCCAUGCAGCACCUGUGUGUAGGCCCCGUAAGGGGAGGAAUCCAUCUCUGGAAGCCGUCGUGGCAUGUCAAGGGCUGGUAAGGUUCUUCGCGUUGCUUCGAAUUGAACCACAUGCUCCACCGCUUGUGCGGGUCCCCGUCAAUUCCUUUGAGUUUUAAUCUUGCGACCGUACUCCCCAGGCGGUCGACUUCACGCGUUAGCUGCGGUACUAAGGAAGUCUCCUUCCCCAACACCUAGUCGACAUCGUUUAGGGCGUGGACUAC